This is a long non-coding RNA of Coregonus clupeaformis (lake whitefish), 680 nucleotides long. RefSeq lists it as uncharacterized. The transcript has 3 exons. NCBI's taxonomy places the organism in Eukaryota, Metazoa, Chordata, Actinopteri, Salmoniformes, Salmonidae. The record is from RefSeq and is a predicted model, not a curated record.
AGUCAGGAGCCUAUGUUUUUUGACAGGUGAGAUGAGUUCAGUUCAGGAAAACCCCAAGGGUUACCGAUCUAUCUUAGUUCAUGGGCAAUAAGGAUAGCUUUCGGCUGUCCUUUUUAUUUUCAAACAUGAAGAUACACGGAACCGUUUCAUUAUAAUGUAGAAUGCCGAAUCUGAAAAGGAGUGUACGCGUAGCAGCUUGCAGCAGCCAUCGACCCAAGCAAGCUAGUUAAAGACGGAGUGUUUCUAGUCUUGGGACGCCAGUUGUUCAUCGGUGGUGUACUCUUGCCGGCUAUAGGGACCCUCUCUUGGGAUGCUCUUACGAGCUUUGGGCUUCCUGUUCCUGCAUGAUGUGUAACCGUGGUGACAACAGAGAGCACCCACACCCAUCCCUCUCUCCCUUCCCCUGGGCCGCUGCCCCUCCCACACCCCCCUCCCCCUAAAGCAGUCCAAACCUCACCAAGAUGGCAGACAGAAAGGAGCCACCAAUCUAUAAUGAUGACAGCGUGGGGGCCUUCCAGUACAAGUUGCCGUUCUACGAGACCAUGGAGCUGUUCAUCGAAACAUUGACGGGGACCUGCUUCGAGCUGCGCGUCUCGCCCUUUGAGACAGUCAUCUCUGUCAAGGCCAAGAUCCAGAGGCUGGAAGGUAUGGUACAUAACAGUGCAGUAGUCACUCUUACU